RNAcentral lists this transfer RNA (72 nucleotides) under Sarcophilus harrisii (Tasmanian devil). It matches the Rfam family "tRNA". From Rfam's summary of the family: Transfer RNA (tRNA) molecules are approximately 80 nucleotides in length. Their secondary structure includes four short double-helical elements and three loops (D, anti-codon, and T loops). Lineage: Eukaryota; Metazoa; Chordata; Mammalia; Dasyuromorphia; Dasyuridae. The record is from Rfam by way of RNAcentral.
GGUACUAUGGUACAGUAGAAAAUGCAAUUGAAUUGCAAUCAAAAGACCUAGGUUCAAAUUCUGGUUAUACCA